This 73-nucleotide transfer RNA is filed under the name Mus musculus (house mouse). It matches the Rfam family "tRNA". Rfam says of the family: Transfer RNA (tRNA) molecules are approximately 80 nucleotides in length. Their secondary structure includes four short double-helical elements and three loops (D, anti-codon, and T loops). Lineage: Eukaryota; Metazoa; Chordata; Mammalia; Rodentia; Muridae. The record is from Rfam by way of RNAcentral.
GGGCUUGUGGCUCAGCAGGAAGGGUGCUUGCCUCACAAGCAGGAUGACCUGAGUUCUAGCCUCAGUACCCUCA